RNAcentral lists this ribosomal RNA (529 nucleotides) under Salmonella enterica subsp. enterica serovar O Rough:a:-. RNAcentral's name for it is "partial 23S ribosomal RNA". It matches the Rfam family "Bacterial large subunit ribosomal RNA", at positions 1029 to 1558 of the family's 2925-position model. Lineage: Bacteria; Pseudomonadati; Pseudomonadota; Gammaproteobacteria; Enterobacterales; Enterobacteriaceae. The record is from RNAcentral.
AGACCGCCAGCUAAGGUCCCAAAGUCAUGGUUAAGUGGGAAACGAUGUGGGAAGGCCCAGACAGCCAGGAUGUUGGCUUAGAAGCAGCCAUCAUUUAAAGAAAGCGUAAUAGCUCACUGGUCGAGUCGGCCUGCGCGGAAGAUGUAACGGGGCUAAACCAUGCACCGAAGCUGCGGCAGCGACGCUGAUGCGUUGUUGGGUAGGGGAGCGUUCUGUAAGCCUGUGAAGGUGGCCUGUGAGGGUUGCUGGAGGUAUCAGAAGUGCGAAUGCUGACAUAAGUAACGAUAAAGCGGGUGAAAAGCCCGCUCGCCGGAAGACCAAGGGUUCCUGUCCAACGUUAAUCGGGGCAGGGUGAGUCGACCCCUAAGGCGAGGCCGAAAGGCGUAGUCGAUGGGAAACGGGUUAAUAUUCCCGUACUUGGUGUUACUGCGAAGGGGGGACGGAGAAGGCUAUGUUGGCCGGGCGACGGUUGUCCCGGUUUAAGCGUGUAGGUGUGUGUUCCAGGUAAAUCCGGUUCACUUUAACACUG